This 344-nucleotide ribosomal RNA is filed under the name uncultured bacterium. Its description in RNAcentral is "bacterial SSU rRNA". It matches the Rfam family "Bacterial small subunit ribosomal RNA", at positions 995 to 1340 of the family's 1533-position model. The record is from RNAcentral.
CAUUUGUANAGAUANAAAGUUCCCUUCGGGGACGCUAAGACAGGUGGUGCAUGGCUGUCGUCAGCUCGUGUCGUGAGAUGUUGGGUUAAGUCCCGCAACGAGCGCAACCCUUGUUAUUAGUUGCCAGCAUUAAGUUGGGCACUCUAAUGAGACUGCCGGUGACAAACCGGAGGAAGGUGGGGAUGACGUCAAGUCAUCAUGCCCCUUAUGACCUGGGCUACACACGUGCUACAAUGGGCAGUACAACGAGAAGCGAGCCUGCGAAGGCAAGCGAAUCUCUGAAAGCUGUUCUCAGUUCGGACUGCAGUCUGCAACUCGACUGCACGAAGCUGGAAUCGCUAGUA